Molecule: ribosomal RNA, 505 nt
Filed under: uncultured bacterium
Lineage: Bacteria
Description: partial 16S ribosomal RNA
Rfam family: Bacterial small subunit ribosomal RNA
Source: RNAcentral
GACGAACGCUGGCGGCGUGCCUAAUACAUGCAAGUAGAACGCACAGUUUAUACCGUAGCUUGCUACACCAUAAACUGUGAGUUGCGAACGGGUGAGUAACGCGUAGGUAACCUGCCUGGUAGCGGGGGAUAACUAUUGGAAACGAUAGCUAAUACCGCAUAAUAUUGAUUAUUGCAUGAUAAUUGAUUGAAAGAUGCUAUUGCAUCACUACCAGAUGGACCUGCGUUGUACUAGCUAGUAGGUGAGGUAACGGCUCACCUAGGCGACGAUACAUAGCCGACCUGAGAGGGUGCUCGGCCACACUGGGACUGAGACACGGCCCAGACUCCUACGGGAGGCAGCAGUAGGGAAUCUUCGGCAAUGGACGAAAGUCUGACCGAGCAACGCCGCGUGAGUGAAGAAGGUUUUCGGAUCGUAAAGCUCUGUUGUAAGAGAAGAACGGGUGUGAGAGUGGAAAGUUCACACUGUGACGGUAUCUUACCAGAAAGGGACGGCUAACUACGUG